CCUACGCGAGGCUGCAGUGAGGAAUAUUGGUCAAUGGACGAGAGUCUGAACCAGCCAAGUAGCGUGAAGGAUGACUGCCCUAUGGGUUGUAACCUUCUUUUAUAUGGGAAUAAAAUGUUCCACGUGUGGGAUUCUGUAUGUACCAUAUGAAUAAGGAUCGGCUAAUUACGUGCCAGCAGCCGCGGUAAUACGGAGGAUCCGAGCGUUAUCCGGAUUUAUUGGGUUUAAAGGGAGCGUAGGUGGAUUGUUAAGUUAGUUGUGAAAGUUUGCGGCUCAACCGUAAAAUUGCAGUUGAAACUGGCAGUCUUGAGUGCAGUAGAGGUAGGCGGAAUUCGUGGUGUAGCGGUUAAAUGCUUAGAUAUCACGAAGAACUCCGAUUGCGAAGGCAGUUCACUGGACUGCAACUGACACUGAGGCUCGAAAGUGUGGGUAUCAAACAGGAUUAGAUACCCGAGUAGUC
This 460-nucleotide ribosomal RNA is filed under the name uncultured bacterium. Its description in RNAcentral is "partial 16S ribosomal RNA". It matches the Rfam family "Bacterial small subunit ribosomal RNA", at positions 338 to 795 of the family's 1533-position model. The record is from RNAcentral.